Molecule: long non-coding RNA, 414 nt
Organism: Brassica napus (rape)
Lineage: Eukaryota; Viridiplantae; Streptophyta; Magnoliopsida; Brassicales; Brassicaceae
Exons: 3
Source: RefSeq, a predicted model, not a curated record
AGACACCUUUAUCUCCAAUGUCUCAACAGCCUAAUUUGACACAUGAGGAGACAAUGAUUGAAUCAGCUGCAUCUCCAAAGUCUCAACAAAAUGAGGAUUACACGCAACCAUCGAGUGAGACGCCUUUAUCUCCAAUGUCUCAACAGCCUAAUUUGACACAUGAGGUAUGUAACCAAUAAAAUAUUGUUGAGUUUUGAAGUAAUAUUUGGAAGCUUUUGUACAUAUUCUUGAAUGCAUUCUUGAUUUUUGCAGGAGACAAUGAAUGAAUCAGAUGAUGAAACUCCUGCCCUUGAUACUCAAGUAUUCUCUCCUAAUCUGACAAAAGAGGUAUAUGCUCAAUGAUAUUGUUUUCACAGUUGGAGUUUACAAAUUAGUUUUGGGUGAUUUUUUUUUACAUAUAAAGGCUUUUCUGAU